Scophthalmus maximus (turbot) is the source of this 946-nucleotide long non-coding RNA. RefSeq lists it as uncharacterized. The record is from RefSeq and is a predicted model, not a curated record. Lineage: Eukaryota; Metazoa; Chordata; Actinopteri; Pleuronectiformes; Scophthalmidae. The transcript is spliced from 3 exons.
AACAGGUGACGCUUGCAUUGCAUGUAUUUGUGUCUUGACGAGCUCAGCUGAUCUACAUGUUUCUAUGUCUCUAGGCAAAGUGAGCGCAUUAUCACCUAACAGUCUCUCUUUCAGAUGAGUAUCAUUUAUGUUAAACACUAAUUUAUCCCUAAUCAUGUCAUCUUCAUUUCUGCCAAACUCACAGUCUUUGUUCUUUCGACGUAGCUCUGUGAUGAAUCUGUCCACCGAUAUUCCUGAUGACCGUGUGCGACCAAAACUGAUGGCGUUCGAAAACGGCGUUCUUUCUGUGGGCUACAGUAGUCCCUAAAUGCUACCAGAACUUCCUCCAUCGUUGCUUCGUCUCCUUCAUGGAUAAUGAGUACAUCAAACCAAUCGGCAACACCCAUGUUGCACGGUUUAAAGAACCAUGUAUAUUGGAGUGCAACCUCUUCAACCUCAGGGGCUUAGAAGGUGGCCAAGUGGAUUUCACUAUUUAACAACAUUCAAUACAUCCAUGGGCAUGAAGACCCCCUCUUCCCCAGAGACAAAGAAGGGUGAAGCUACCACAAAGCCUGUUAAAACAGAACCCACAUUCAAUUAUGUGGGUGACUUGAUGAGGAUGGUGUUUGAGGACCCAGCACCAUUUGUGGAGUAGAUGAAAAAAUCCCCAACCCCAAGGAUAUAUCAUCCCAAUAUGACAGGCCGUGAAAAGGAGGAAGUGGUUGCUCGCCACAUGUCAGGCUUAAGUCAAGGGGCAGUCGGAAGCCAACAUACUGGUCAGCUGGAUCAGGAAACUCCUGGCGGAUGACUCGAUGACGACCCUGUUGUGGCGUCCCACAGCAUCAACUGCGAGAAAAACAAUGAGGCAAUAUUGCAGUUGUAAAUUGCCCCUCCUGCUAGAUUUUGGAAUAUGUGUAUAUUUGUUGUUUCCUUACAUUUACAGAAAAUAAAGAUAUUUUGAAGAAAA